This 116-nucleotide non-coding RNA is filed under the name bovine gut metagenome. RNAcentral describes it as "Moco (molybdenum cofactor) riboswitch". It matches the Rfam family "Molybdenum/Tungsten riboswitch aptamer (Moco RNA motif)", at positions 12 to 120 of the family's 135-position model. The record is from RNAcentral.
AUCAUAACUCCGAGCAAAAGCGCCUAAAACGAAGGUCACGGCGCUGCGCCUGGUCCUUCGGGACCCACCGGGUGGAGACAGAAAUGUCUUCGCCUUCCGUAGUUGAAAAGGGGUCA